RNAcentral lists this ribosomal RNA (443 nucleotides) under uncultured bacterium. RNAcentral describes it as "partial 16S ribosomal RNA". It matches the Rfam family "Bacterial small subunit ribosomal RNA", at positions 338 to 795 of the family's 1533-position model. The record is from RNAcentral.
CCUACGGGUGGCUGCAGUGGGGGAUAUUGGGCAAUGGGCGCAAGCCUGACCCAGCAACGCCGCGUGAAGGAAGAAGGCUUUCGGCUUGUAAAGUUCUGUUCUCAGGGACGAAGCAAGUGAUGGUACCUGAGGAAUAAGUCACGGCUAACUACGUGCCAGCAGCCGCGGUAAGACGUAGGUGGCAAGCGUUAUCCGGAUUUACUGGGUGUAAAGGGCGAGUAGGCGGGAAAGCAAGUCAGAUGUGAAACCCAUGGGCUCAACCUGUGGCCUGCAUUUGAAACUGUUUGUCUUGAGUGCUGGAGAGGCAGACGGAAUUCCUAGUGUAGCGGUGAAAUGCGUAGAUAUUAGGAGGAACACCAGUGGCGAAGGCGGUCUGCUGGACAGCAACUGACGCUGAGGCGCGAAAGCGUGGGGAGGAAACAGGAUUAGAUACCCUAGUAGUC